Melopsittacus undulatus (budgerigar) is the source of this 1263-nucleotide long non-coding RNA. RefSeq lists it as uncharacterized. The record is from RefSeq and is a predicted model, not a curated record. NCBI's taxonomy places the organism in Eukaryota, Metazoa, Chordata, Aves, Psittaciformes, Psittaculidae. The transcript is spliced from 4 exons.
GUUGCAUGUGCUGUACUACUGAGCUGCAAUUACGUGCAGUUCAAUAUUGCAGAAGCAACCAAGGCUGCUUUGAGUUUUAAAUUGUUACUUCUAAGGCAAAUGUUUGCCAGUGAGUUUCUCAAGGACUUGGGCACAAUCUGGAGGCAGAGUGCUCCUAACCAUUCUUUAUUUCAAAUAGAACAGCCCUACAACAAAGAGCAUCACUGUUCUCUGCUCUGGUAUAGUGUGUAUGGUCUUAAUUGCUGUGGAAUACCAAUUCUUUUUUACAAGCUUGUAAAAUGUAGGGUAGCACAGUAAGCAAAUCCUUUUCGGGAUGAGGAUAGUCCCUGCAGAUAUAAAACUGUUAAGUGAACGUUACAGAUGAGUAAACCUUGUUAACUUCAUAUGCAGAAGAAGCACUCUGGAGCUGUUGAAGAUUUAAUUUGGAGCACAUAUGCCCAACAUAUGUAACAUCAUCAAACAGUUACCUGAUGCUCUUCAAAACAGUGUGAACAAAGCAAUAACUUCAAGGAUUCUGGGGAUUAUAACUGGAAUGCAGACAAGGCUGACAUGUCCUUCAGCAUUUUUAGCAUGAUCUAAGUAUGAACACAGCUGCUUUUCCAUGGGAGCCUGAGGAGAACUCAUUCAAGAUGAAAGGAAGUGGAAUGCAUCUGAAAGAACAGCCAAAUUUUGAUGGCUUUUUCUUGCUGAUGAUAUGAGCAGUUAAAUCUUUUAAAGGGCAGUGUUGCUUUCCUUUUAGUCCUAUUGGUUGUACAACUCUUACCCAUCUUUUGUGAAUGUAUCAUAUUUAAUCGUUUGCCAAAACCCGUUUGUUUAAUUAAAUUCUUUUAAGAGCAUACCACUCUUAUAUGAAGUUUGAAGGAUUAUAUGCAGCUUGUUUUUCCCCUGGUACUUUCAGGUUGAUUUUGAUCAUUGCCUUCAUAUACUGGCUUACAUUUCUUUUAUGUGCUGCUUAGUGACACAAAGAGGGUAUGGCGGUCUUGUGUGACUAGUAUAAUAUUCAUGCUUCAUUAUGUAGAGAAACAUUUAUUGCUGUUGAAUAACCUGAUGGACCUAUGGUGUUGUUUUUCCCCUUAAAAUAGUCACUUGGUUCCAUGUGCUUGAGGUGCAUAGUGUCUCAUGUUUGUUUGAGCAAUUUAAAAUAGGAAACAUGGAUAGGACCAUCUACAACGCGGUUUGUGAGGCAUUACUGAAAUCCAGCUCAUGCUGAUGGGAAUUACAAAACUGAAAGUGUUGCACUUCCUAAGUACAUUUCUAAUAAAC